UUGAAUGGUAUCCAUUUACUCAUGCUUCUUGUAAACAGUUGUUCUAAAAAUCUCUCAUUGUUUGUUCUAAUUUGGAUAGAAUGCCUUCUAGGUUGGCUUCAGACCUAGAAAUCCUGAGAUUUAAUUUUAUUACUGGAUUUGUUCUCUAUUCUUGCAGAGUGUUUUCAGGAUGGGUGUGUGGAAAGUAAAGCCAUUCAUUGCUAGUGUAAUCAUCUUUAUUCUGCCAUCUUACUUCAUUGAGAGUAUGGCUGUAGACAGAAUUCUAGUUCAAAAUAAUGUCUUCUCCAAAGUCUGAGGGAAGUGCCCCCUUUUAUUCCAGACCACAGUAUUGCUGUUGAGAAAUCUGGUAAUCUUCAAAAGUUGAAGGGAUAAUCAGAGAAAUAAUAUUUCCCAGAGCUGAAUAUGAGAGUCUUCAGAACAAAACGUCCUUGAGGGCUGUGAAGUGAGAAAGUAUAAAUGUAAAAACAAAUUUUUUGAAAUUUCAAGAGACUUUUUUUUUAAUCUUUUUCCUCUGAAGAGCAUUUUCCUUGCUUUCUUUUUGUAAAACUCCCAUUAAUCACAGAUUGGACUGCCUGACCCUCUACUGUGUCCUUCACAGUAGAAUGAAUAUUUCCUAGUUUCUUUUGUUGUUGUUGUUGAGACGGAGUGUCAUCGUGUCGCCCAGGCUGGAGUGUAGUGGCACGAUCUUGGCUCACUGCAACCUCCGCCUCCUGAGUUGAAGCGAUUCUCCUGCCUCAGCCUCCUGAGUACCUGGGAUUACAGAUGUGCACCACCACGCCUGGCUAAUUUUUGUAUUUUUAGUAGAGAUGGGGUUUCACCAUGUUGGCCAGGCUGGUCUCGAACUCCUGACCUUGUGAUUCGCCCACCUCGGCCUCCCAAAGUGCUGGGAUGACAGGCGUGAACCACUGUGUCCGACCCUUAGAUUCUUUUUUUAAAAGAGAUAGGGUCUUGCUAUGUUGCCCAGGAUGGACCCAAGUCCUGGGCUCAAGUGAUCCAUCUGCCUCACCCUCCAAAGUAGCUGGGACUACAGACAUGCGUCACCAUGCCCAGCUGAUACUUUUCUAAAAUGUCUAUCUGAUCAUACUAGUUUCCUAUAGGAAUAUCAGAUUGAAAAGAGGGAAGAAGGGACAAAGGACUGCUUGUUUCUGUUUCUGGUUUUAGGAGUAACAGAUCCUUUUAUGCUAUUGGCUUAGAUGGUCUGUGGCCUUAAUUCCAUUGUGCACAGAUUGGAUGUGGCUGCAUUUAGAGAGGGACAGUCGAGUCCCUUAUUAGGUACACUUACGCUGUACCUAUCCAGAGAAAAUCAGGUGAGCAAAACCUACAUACACUUGUGAAAAAUGAUAAUAGGACACAAUGGACAUUAUGGACAUUGGAAAGAGAUUGAACUUAAAAUUACCCCAUUUGGAAUCUGGGUGGUUUUGCCAAAAGACAGAAGCAGAGUGGUUUUUACCUCCUUUGCAGUAUUUCUGAAAAGUAAAAAGUUUUUUGCAGAAACCCGGAAACAGCAGCUGAAAUGUUUUACAUACUCCCUAAGGAAGCAGCACCCAGCAGAUGAAGCCCUGCGGGAGAGAGCACAGCAGCAGCGGAGGCUCUGGGGGAAGGCGCGGUGUCUAAGGCAAAGGACUCUGCCAGCUUACAUAUUUAUUUGAAAGACACAGACAAAAAGGAUGAAUAUGUUUAUAUAACUUAAAGCAAUGGCAUCAAAGGCAAACCAGAUACAACAUUAAGAUGAUGGGCAUUAAAAAGAUGAGGUAGGGGUCAAAAUGAGCCUAGAGGUUGCAUAUAUCUACAAUAAAGUUUUUUUUUCCUUCCUGCAUAGAUGGAGCAGCUCAUUGAAAAACACUUUUAUUUUUUCAAAGAUUCAGGGUCUUGCUCUGUCACCCAGGCUGAAGUGCAGAGGCACCAUCGUAACUCAAGCUCACUGUAACCUUGAACUCCUGGGCUCAAGGAAUCCUGGGACAAGGUAUCAAAGGCAAACCCUCAUAGUCUGAGAAACAUUAUGAAAACCACAAGUUAAGGUGCUACAACAUAAAAAGUCAGAUGAAGAUGAGUAAUUUAAUGGUUUCAUUCUUAUUGGACCAUUCUAGAUGGAGACAAUAAGUAGAAGGUAAAAAGUUUCAAUGACUUAAGUUUGCGUAUAGUGUACUUUAAGCAGAGGGCACAGAAUUUCCUUCGUCUUUUAUCAGUUUUGUAGAUGUUUGCGUCUUCAUAAAUAUUAGCAAUUUCUAGACUCUGAUACUCUAUUUUAUAGAUUUGUCUUUUUGUGGUUAUGUGCCCCCCUCCUUCAACAUUUUAUGCAUAUCCUUUAAAAACAUAAGCUCACAAUGUAAUUGCUCUUGGUCUACCAACAUCAGUUUCUUCAGAUACUUUUUCAUAGUUGGGACUGUCAGAAUUUUAUUUUGCAAAGAACUUCAUUUUAAGCCAAUUUCUUUUUAGAAUCUUUGGAUAUGGGAUAAGGACAAAAGUUACCAGAAGUUUUGAAAUAGUCUUUCCUAAUAUUUGUCUUUUCUGCUUUUAGAAUGUUUUGUGGCAAUUCUCAUAAAACGAAACCUAACUCACCUAUUCUCAGUAUUCGACCAGCAAAACACCUCACUUACCUGUGCACAUCAUCUAAUGCAACAAAGAGUCCCUAACAGGUUACAUCUGGUGAGUAUGCAGACAUAGAGAUCUUCUUUGUCUUAAAACAGGUUUUAGCUGUGGCACUGACAUUUUGGACCAAAUCAAUCUUUGUUGUGGGGGCUGUCCUGUACAUCACAGGAUAUUUAGCAGCAUCCCUACUUUCCACUCCCCAGAUCCUGUACCACCCCUUCCUCAAGCUGUGAUAACCAAAACUGUCUCCUGACAUUGCUCUAAUGUUUCCAUGGGGAGCAAAAUCACUCCCUAUGGGAACCAGUGUCAUAAACCAUUUUAGAGGCAAACUAUAAACUAACUCCCCCAAACUGUGAGGGUGGAAAUAGUCUAUAACUUCCCAAUACAGCAGCUGAUCACUACAUGACACUGCUAAGCACCUGAAAUGUGGCUAAGUAUGAGAAUUCUUAAUUUAAUUUCAUUUUAAUUAAGUCCUACAUAUACUAUAAGGACAAGAUGCUUCAUCAUGGAAAGCUGUGUAGAUAUCUGAUACCUCUGUUAAAAAUCAUGUGGUUGAUUGAUAGGCAAUAAAAACUUACAGAAAGGGUUUCACCAUGUUGUCCAAGCUGGUCUCAAACUAUCCACCCACCUCCACCUCCAAAAGAGCUGGGAUUACAGGUGUGAGUCACUGCACCAGGCAUAAAUGUUUUAUUAGUCCUAUUUCUAUCCAUUUAAUCUUCAUUCUGACUAGGUAUUUGUUAAAUUAAAAGGUGAACUGUGAAGUUAAAGAUUACAAUGAUAGAAAUUUAAAUUCUCUUUUAAAUCAAAAAGUUUUAAGUUGUUUUUUGCAUGAUAGGAAUCAUGACUGAAAAUAUAAGAAUGCAAAAAAGGUGCUCUAACUGAAUUCUGGUAAAUAAUUCCUUCCUUGAAAGAAAAGAAAAAUAAACAAAUUUAAAGGAAAGGCCAACCAGGAUUGAAAGAAAACAUUUAUUGAAUCAAAAUCAAUACUUUCUUUUUAAUAUCUACAAGCCAACACAGAACUCAUUUUAUUCAAGAAGGAACACAAUGUACAAAAAAAGUAUGCUUAUAUUAUAAAAAUAUGUCAAUUUUAUCUUCUGGGUGCUUAGCAGAAGUCAUUUUAAACAAAAUCAAGGCAAACUUGUUCUCUAUAAUGAGUCUGCUAUAAUUUAACAACAAAGUGAAAGCUAAUGUACUCACGAAGUAUUUUUAAAGGCCCACUGAUAAUGCUGCACUGGAAAUGCUAAACCCAAUGUUAACUAAAGUCAACAUUUCCGCUCUACGCUUACUGGCACCACUUCAUGCCUACAUCAUGGGAAAGUACCUCUUUUACAGAAUGCAGAUCACUGCUAACAAUCCACGUGACUAAGUCUUCAGUUUCCCUUGCUUAACAUUUGUUAGCAUAUAUUUCAGCAAAGAUUAACAGUAUAAUGAAUGUUGAGUAGUAAAAUCCUAUUUAAUUAGCUUCAAUUUAAAAAUGAGAUAUGCUGCUAUGGGGAACAAAUGACCUCUUGAGAUUUACAACCCCCUUUAUAAAUGUGGGAAAGCUGCCUCCCUAAAAAAAAUUAUGUCCAAGGUUAAUACCGUAUCUUUUUUUGUAGUUUUCUUAUUUCUUGAUUUUAUUGGCACCUCCCAGGCACUUUGGCAUGUGCUCCUGUAUAAAGUGUAGUUACUGUGCCUGUAGAGUUAGUGGCAGCUGCAGAGUAGUUAUAGGCUGACUGACAAGUCCACUUUUGGCUUACCAUGGAGAUCUGCUCCAAUACAUGCUGGUCGUUGGAGCAGCAAAAAAAAAAAAGCGAUUUGGAAAAAGAAUAAAAUCAUGAGUAAGGGAAAAGGAUCACGGCUUCCCAUAUUGUUGUUCCAGGAGUUAUAUGACAAGUAGAAAAAUUGUACUAAUUUAAAGAGUCAGUCAAAAUAGAAGUAGACUAAAUAGCAUGAGUGCUGAUAAUGCCAAGAAAAUCCAAUCUCUCUUCUAAAGAGCUUGCACACAGCAAUGUCCCUGGCCAAGAAACUGACCGUGCCUGGCUGAGCAGAAUGACAACAGUACUCAGGCAAAUUCCACAAUGCAACAUCCACUUGGUGAAUCAGUGACAAUGGAUGAAUUCAACUUUAGAAGUUAUUAAACAAACUGCAAAAUGUCUACUCCAAAGAUGCAAAUGUUUUUCCUUGGCAGAUCCUCUCUGUGCUUGGGAUUGACACAAAGGCUCAAAACUGCAAAAUACAAAGAUCAAGUAAUCUGGUGCCCCGCUGUACUGGGUAAAUUAAAUUUUAAAAAGUGGAGGAGAAAUGCUUUCACAUUUUACCUACAUAAACCUAAUGUUUGUUCAGCUGCCUGUUUUGCAAGAAUCUUGGACUAAGGUAAAUGAAGGCAGAAGAUAAAGUGAUCUCUGUUCCUUUAUUCAAAGUUAUUUAAAGUUUUUAAUUAAGCCCCAUUUGUUACGUGAAAUGUUAAUCCUACCAAAUGUAGUUAGAUAGGCUUGAAUUGGACAUAGGAUUUAAACAUUUUAAUGAGAACACAAACCACUGACUCUGGCUUAACACCACACUCUAACAGAAAAGAAGAAACCUUUACAGAAAUAUUUGAAAUAUACAAAAUUCGUGCAAGGACAAACAUAUUUUAGAACCUGAGCAAAGGCUUCGUACAGGUUGUUUUCACUGGCAAUAAUUCAGCCAGGUCGGUAUGUAUGUUGCUCUUGGCAACUGAUGUGGCCCCUAAAAUAUGUAGAGCACAGAAAGGCCAGUGACUCUGGAGGUCUGCAGUUAGUAGUACAGGCCAGAAGUUCAAGAAACUGCUACUGGAAACAACUGGAUACCAUAACAUUAAAAA
Molecule: long non-coding RNA, 5413 nt
Organism: Gorilla gorilla gorilla (western lowland gorilla)
Lineage: Eukaryota; Metazoa; Chordata; Mammalia; Primates; Hominidae
Exons: 2
Source: RefSeq, a predicted model, not a curated record